Molecule: ribosomal RNA, 274 nt
Filed under: uncultured bacterium
Lineage: Bacteria
Description: partial 16S ribosomal RNA
Rfam family: Bacterial small subunit ribosomal RNA
Source: RNAcentral
AUACGGAGGGUGCGAGCGUUGUUCGGAAUUACUGGGCGUAGAGGGCGCGUAGGCGGCUUUACAAGUCAGGUGUGAAAGUCCACGGCUCAACCGUGGAAGUGCAUUUGAAACUGUAAGGCUUGAGUACUGGAGGGGAGUGUGGAAUUCCUGGUGUAGAGGUGAAAUUCGUAGAGAUCAGGAGGAAUGCCGGUGGCGAAGGCGACACUCUGGACAGAUACUGACGCUGAGGCGCGAAAGCGUGGGGAGCAAACAGGAUUAGAAACCCCAGUAGUCC